Molecule: ribosomal RNA, 1483 nt
Filed under: Limosilactobacillus fermentum
Lineage: Bacteria; Bacillati; Bacillota; Bacilli; Lactobacillales; Lactobacillaceae
Description: bacterial SSU rRNA
Rfam family: Bacterial small subunit ribosomal RNA
Source: RNAcentral
GGGGGAACGGGCGGGUGCUAUACAUGCAAGUCGAACGCGUUGGCCCAAUUGAUUGAUGGUGCUUGCACCUGAUUGAUUUUGGUCGCCAACGAGUGGCGGACGGGUGAGUAACACGUAGGUAACCUGCCCAGAAGCGGGGGACAACAUUUGGAAACAGAUGCUAAUACCGCAUAACAGCGUUGUUCGCAUGAACAACGCUUAAAAGAUGGCUUCUCGCUAUCACUUCUGGAUGGACCUGCGGUGCAUUAGCUUGUUGGUGGGGUAAUGGCCUACCAAGGCGAUGAUGCAUAGCCGAGUUGAGAGACUGAUCGGCCACAAUGGGACUGAGACACGGCCCAUACUCCUACGGGAGGCAGCAGUAGGGAAUCUUCCACAAUGGGCGCAAGCCUGAUGGAGCAACACCGCGUGAGUGAAGAAGGGUUUCGGCUCGUAAAGCUCUGUUGUUAAAGAAGAACACGUAUGAGAGUAACUGUUCAUACGUUGACGGUAUUUAACCAGAAAGUCACGGCUAACUACGUGCCAGCAGCCGCGGUAAUACGUAGGUGGCAAGCGUUAUCCGGAUUUAUUGGGCGUAAAGAGAGUGCAGGCGGUUUUCUAAGUCUGAUGUGAAAGCCUUCGGCUUAACCGGAGAAGUGCAUCGGAAACUGGAUAACUUGAGUGCAGAAGAGGGUAGUGGAACUCCAUGUGUAGCGGUGGAAUGCGUAGAUAUAUGGAAGAACACCAGUGGCGAAGGCGGCUACCUGGUCUGCAACUGACGCUGAGACUCGAAAGCAUGGGUAGCGAACAGGAUUAGAUACCCUGGUAGUCCAUGCCGUAAACGAUGAGUGCUAGGUGUUGGAGGGUUUCCGCCCUUCAGUGCCGGAGCUAACGCAUUAAGCACUCCGCCUGGGGAGUACGACCGCAAGGUUGAAACUCAAAGGAAUUGACGGGGGCCCGCACAAGCGGUGGAGCAUGUGGUUUAAUUCGAAGCUACGCGAAGAACCUUACCAGGUCUUGACAUCUUGCGCCAACCCUAGAGAUAGGGCGUUUCCUUCGGGAACGCAAUGACAGGUGGUGCAUGGUCGUCGUCAGCUCGUGUCGUGAGAUGUUGGGUUAAGUCCCGCAACGAGCGCAACCCUUGUUACUAGUUGCCAGCAUUAAGUUGGGCACUCUAGUGAGACUGCCGGUGACAAACCGGAGGAAGGUGGGGACGACGUCAGAUCAUCAUGCCCCUUAUGACCUGGGCUACACACGUGCUACAAUGGACGGUACAACGAGUCGCGAACUCGCGAGGGCAAGCAAAUCUCUUAAAACCGUUCUCAGUUCGGACUGCAGGCUGCAACUCGCCUGCACGAAGUCGGAAUCGCUAGUAAUCGCGGAUCAGCAUGCCGCGGUGAAUACGUUCCCGGGCCUUGUACACACCGCCCGUCACACCAUGAGAGUUUGUAACACCCAAAGUCGGUGGGGUAACCUUUUAGGAGCCAGCCGCAUAAGGUGACAAGAU